This 886-nucleotide ribosomal RNA is filed under the name uncultured bacterium. RNAcentral describes it as "bacterial SSU rRNA". It matches the Rfam family "Bacterial small subunit ribosomal RNA", at positions 571 to 1479 of the family's 1533-position model. The record is from RNAcentral.
GUAGGCGGUUUGGAAGUCUACGGUUAAAUCCCAGAGCUUAACUUUGGUUCAGCCGUAGAGUACUUCAAAGCUUGAGUAUGGUAGGGGUAGAGGGAACUUCUCGUGGAGCGGUGAAAUGCACAGAGAUGAGAAGGAACACCAGUGGCGAAAGCGCUCUACUGGGCCAUGACUGACGCUGAGAGAUGACAGCUGAGGGAGCGAAUAGGAUUAGAUACCCUAGUAGUCUCAGCCGUAAACGAUGGAUACUAGAUGUUGCCACAAGCAGUGUCGAAGCUAACGCGUUAAGUAUCCCACCUGGGGAGUACGUACGCAAGUAUGAAACUCAAAGGAAUUGACGGGAAUUGACACAAGUGGUGGAUUAUGUGGUUUAAUUUGAUGCAACGCGGAGAACCUUACCAGGGAUUGACAUGGUGAGAAUCUUUCCGAAAGGGAAGAGUGCCCUUUGGGGAACUCACACACAGGUGGUGCAUGGCCGUCGUCAGCUCGUGCCGUGAGGUGUUUGGUUAAGUCCAAUAACGAGCGCAACCCUUGUUCGCUGUUAAAUGUCUGCGAAGACUGCCAGUGUAAACUGGAGGAAGGAAAGGAUGACGUCAAGUCAGCAUGCCCCUUACGUCCUGGGCUACACACGUAAUACAAUGGGUGAGACAAUCAGAAGCGAUCUCGCGAGAGCUAGCGAAUCUGUUAAACUCAUCCUCAGUUCGGAUUGUAGGCUGCAACUCGCCUACAUGAAGCCGGAAUCACUAGUAAUCGCCAGUCAGCUAUAUGGCGGUGAAUACGUUCCUCAAUUUUGUACACACCGCCCGUCACACCACGAAAGUAAUGAUUGCCCAAAGUCGUUACCUUAACCUUUUUGGAGGGGGACGCCUACCGGCAGUCGUGAAUCAGG